Molecule: long non-coding RNA, 442 nt
Filed under: Dermacentor andersoni
Lineage: Eukaryota; Metazoa; Arthropoda; Arachnida; Ixodida; Ixodidae
Description: uncharacterized LOC126517604
Source: RNAcentral
UGUAUUUUUAUAAUUUUGAUAUGUAUUUUAUUUUAGGUAUUCAAGAAAUGGCAACAGCCAGAAGUCGCCAUCUUAUCCAGCACGUUAUGGGUACACUCUGGCGGCUCCUACCCCUGCGUCCUACCACCACCCUGUCCCGACUACGUCCACUAGGGAGUUGGAAGCCUUUGGCGGCUUCUGCCACUGCAUCCUGCCACCACCAUGUCCCGACCACGUCCACUAGGGAGUUGGCAGCCUUACUGAUGAUGCCAAGCAGGCUGACAGCAGACAGAAAUAUUCAGGUUGCCUUGAAAUUUUACCCAAGCCAUGCCACAUACUCGGCCCAGGCCUCUUGCGAACUACGUAUACCCAGGCUCAACGCAUCACUGUCGAGUGAGUCCGGAGAUCAAGGAAACCUGCUGUGCAACCAUCGCGCAACACUUGGUGACCCCUCUACGUGUUC